UCGGGAAUUUUGGGCAAUGGGCGAAAGCCUGACCCAGCAACGCCGCGUGAAGGAUGAAGUCUCUCGGGAUGUAAACUUCGUAAGAAUAGGAAGAAUAAAUGACGGUACUAUUUAUAAGGUCCGGCUAACUACGUGCCAGCAGCCGCGGUAAUACGUAGGGACCAAGCGUUGUUCGGAUUUACUGGGCGUAAAGGGCGCGUAGGCGGCAAUUCAAGUCAUCUGUGAAAUCUCAGGGCUUAACUCGGAACGGUCAGAUGAUACUGCUUUGCUAGAGUGCAGAAGGGGCAAUCGGAAUUCUUGGUGUAGCGGUGAAAUGCGUAGAUAUCAAGAGGAACACCUGAGGUGAAGACGGGUUGCUGGGCUGACACUGACGCUGAGGCGCGAAAGCCAGGGG
Molecule: ribosomal RNA, 394 nt
Filed under: uncultured bacterium
Lineage: Bacteria
Description: bacterial SSU rRNA
Rfam family: Bacterial small subunit ribosomal RNA
Source: RNAcentral